Molecule: long non-coding RNA, 467 nt
Filed under: Homo sapiens (human)
Lineage: Eukaryota; Metazoa; Chordata; Mammalia; Primates; Hominidae
Description: HSALNT0011209
Source: RNAcentral
GCCAGGAUAGUCUUGAUCUUCUGACCUCGUGAGCCGCCUGUCUCAGCCUCCCAAAGGGCUGGGAUUACAGGCGUGAGCCACCGCGCCCGGCCGAUUUACCACUCUUGAUGUUCACCACCUGGCUGAGUCUGGAAUCAUUUCUUCAUAAUGACAUUUUCUCCUUUUAUUGGAGAAUGUUAGAAACCAAGAUCAAGAGCUUGAUGUGCUUGUUGAUACUGGAGUGUCAUUGAUUCUUGGCCCUGUCAACUGACCAGAUCAAGGAACUACAUGUGUAUAAGCUAAGAAGACAGAGAGAUGUUUUCCACAUGGACCUUUGCUUGUCCCUUUUCAGCGCAACGGCCAUCUCCGAUUUUGCACUCCUGGUUUCCCACUCCAGUAAAUUUUUCUCUAUUCAGUGCCAAAAUUAUCUCUGGGACUUUUUGUUACAUAUUUCCCAAGGAGUUUUUGUCAUGCUGUAAAGAUCAGAC